Molecule: ribosomal RNA, 253 nt
Filed under: uncultured bacterium
Lineage: Bacteria
Description: partial 16S ribosomal RNA
Rfam family: Bacterial small subunit ribosomal RNA
Source: RNAcentral
UACGUAGGGGGCAAGCGUUGUCCGGAGUUACUGGGAGUAAAGCGCACGCAGGCGGUCGCGUAAGAGUGCGGGGACAGUGGGCGGCUUAACUGCCCAAGGGUCGCACAGACUGCGUGACUGGAGGGCCAGAGAGGGACCUGGAAUUCCGGGUGGAGCGGUGAAAUGCGUAGAGAUCCGGAGGAACACCGGUGGCGAAGGCGGGUCUCUGGGCAGUAACUGACGCUGAGGAGCGAAAGCGUGGGGAGCGAACAGG